GAGUUUGAUCCUGGCUCAGAUUGAACGCUGGCGGUAUGCUUAACACAUGCAAGUCGAACGGUAGCAGGCCUUCGGGCGCUGACGAGUGGCGGACGGGUGAGUAACGCGUAGGAAUCUGCCUGGUAGUGGGGGACAACGUGGGGAAACUCACGCUAAUACCGCAUACGCCCUACGGGGGAAAGCGGGGGCUCUUCGGACCUCGCGCUAUCAGAUGAGCCUGCGUUAGAUUAGCUAGUUGGUAGGGUAAAGGCCUACCAAGGCGACGAUCUAUAGCUGGUCUGAGAGGACGAUCAGCCACACUGGGACUGAGACACGGCCCAGACUCCUACGGGAGGCAGCAGUGGGGAAUAUUGGACAAUGGGCGCAAGCCUGAUCCAGCAAUACCGCGUGUGUGAAGAAGGCCUUAGGGUUGUAAAGCACUUUCAAUUGGGAGGAAAACCUGCCGGUCAAUACCCGGUAGCUUGACAUUACCUUUAGAAGAAGCACCGGCUAACUCCGUGCCAGCAGCCGCGGUAAUACGGAGGGUGCGAGCGUUAAUCGGAAUUACUGGGCGUAAAGCGUGCGUAGGCGGUUCGUUAAGUCAGAUGUGAAAGCCCUGGGCUCAACCUGGGAACGGCAUUUGAAACUGGCGGACUAGAGUUUAGUAGAGGGGAGUGGAAUUUCAGGUGUAGCGGUGAAAUGCGUAGAUAUCUGAAGGA
This 698-nucleotide ribosomal RNA is filed under the name uncultured bacterium. RNAcentral's name for it is "bacterial SSU rRNA". It matches the Rfam family "Bacterial small subunit ribosomal RNA", at positions 9 to 705 of the family's 1533-position model. The record is from RNAcentral.